Molecule: ribosomal RNA, 253 nt
Filed under: uncultured bacterium
Lineage: Bacteria
Description: partial 16S ribosomal RNA
Rfam family: Bacterial small subunit ribosomal RNA
Source: RNAcentral
UACGUAGGGGGCUAGCGUUGUCCGGAAUCAUUGGGCGUAAAGAGCGUGUAGGCGGUCCGGUAAGUCCGCUGUGAAAGUCGGGGGCUCAACCCUCGAAUGCCGGUGGAUACUGUCGGGCUAGAGUGCGGAAGAGGCGAGUGGAAUUCCUGGUGUAGCGGUGAAAUGCGUAGAUAUCGGGAGGAACACCAGUGGCGAAGGCGACUACCUGGCCUGUUCUUGACGCUGAGGCGCGAAAGCUAGGGGAGCAAACGGG